Molecule: non-coding RNA, 72 nt
Organism: Cladochytrium replicatum
Lineage: Eukaryota; Fungi; Chytridiomycota; Chytridiomycetes; Cladochytriales; Cladochytriaceae
Source: the annotation of a GenBank genome assembly
UCCUUCGUGGUCCAAAGCCUAGGAUGCCGCGCUCUCACCCAGAUGGUCCGGGUUCGAUUCCCGGCGAGGGAA